This 334-nucleotide ribosomal RNA is filed under the name uncultured eukaryote. RNAcentral describes it as "partial 18S ribosomal RNA". It matches the Rfam family "Eukaryotic small subunit ribosomal RNA", at positions 1470 to 1796 of the family's 1831-position model. The record is from RNAcentral.
CCCUUAGAUGUCCGGGGCCGCACGCGCGCUACCCUGAAGGAAUCAGCGUGGCUUUCUCCCUGACCCGAAAGGGUUGGGAAACCCGUUGAAUCUCCUUCGUGAUAGGGAUUGGGGCUUGAAAUUGUUCCCCAUGAACGAGGAAUUCCCAGUAAGCGCGAGUCAUAAGCUCGCGUUGAUUACGUCCCUGCCCUUUGUACACACCGCCCGUCGCUACUACCGAUUGAACGGUUUAGUGAGGGCCUCGGAUUGGUCUCGGCCCGCUCUUUACCGGGCGGCGCCGUUGGUCGAGAAGACGCUCGAACUUGAUCGUUUAGAGGAAGUAAAAGUCGUAACA